CAUUGUUACUAGUGAAUUUGAGGAAUUUGAAGAUCAGACAAUAAAAGAUGCUGAAAUCUGCUAACAAAUGCAGGCUCUCUUACCAGGUAAUAAAAUAUACUAUUUGGCGUGAUCUUUUCAGCAGGUGAGUAACACUGUAUGUACUUACCAGACAAAAUUCAUGUUCAAGACUCUUGAUUUUCACAACCUCCCUCUGCCUCUACAGAUUGCUGGACACCCAGUGAAGAUGUAGCCUCUACAGAACCCAAUAAUCCUUAGAAGAUCUGCCAGGCAAUGGCCACCAUGGCCAGGGCCAAGGCAUUGUGCCAAAAGUGCACCCUGCUGUCUCCUUUGCCUGUGUCUAAGCAUUUGACCAUUUUCUUUUGUCAGAGAAAACCAUCUAUUCACACUGUUGUUUCAAAGGAAUAAAAAGACAAGCUGGAGAAAAAUCAAGCAAUUCAUUCAAACCCACGUUAGCAGGUGCUAAAUAAAGCAAAGGCUAAAAGUGGGGGAUGCUUAGAGUCCUCAAAACUGACAGUUGAAAGGAACUCUAGAAAUCACCUAAGAAUUUCACUUUAUGGAAAAUAAGUCUGAGGCUGCCUUCUUGGUAGUGGGAAGAUAUUAAAUGCAUCUCAGGUGUCUCAAACUCUGUGGGGGUACACCUCCACUCCCUCUUGGUGCAAAGAUUCCACACACACCCCCAUCGUUCACAUACCAUGAUCCAGAUGUAGAACUCUCGGCUCCUUCCCCAGCACCAUGUCUGCCUGCAUGCCACCAUACUUCCUGCCAUGAUGACAAUGGACUAACCCUCUGAAACGGAACCAGUACUUCCUAGCUUCGUGAUCACCUUGAAAAGCAAUAGAGAGUAGAUGUCACACUCCCAAAAUGUAAUGAGCCACAUGAACAAUGGAAUCAUUCCUAAUAGAGAAGAUAUUUUGUCCCAGUAGGAAUAAAUGAACCAUUUAUUGCCACUGAAGUAUGAAAUUUGUUUCUAAUGUAGUUAAUAAAUGCAAAUAAUUUCCUUCAACUGCUCGGAGGAACUCAACUAAGCAAGACAAUGAGGCAAUGUUUUUGAAACUGAGUGUGACUCAAGACUACAGUGCAUAAAAGCAAAUGCAAACUGACACUGCAUUGUUUAAGUAGCAGAACCACAGCCAGAGUGGAACCGGAGAAAAAGCGGUACCUAGCACACUAGUAAAUCGACGUGGUGAUCAUUUCCUUACUUCCAUCAACUUGAAGCAGUCAGAAACACUGAUCGUGAGACAGAAACCAGGCUGUCAUGUACAAACUGCUCUUGACUGAUCCAUAGGGACAAGGAAGUACAAAUUUACCGCCUGGCAUGGAAAGAUGGGACACAAAGUAGGGGUGCCGGGAGACCCCCUUCUAUUGCUUUGACACCAGUGUUUAGCUAAAGGGUCUCUAAAUGACUAUCUGAUUACUUUCUGUAUAGUUCAGUUCCCAUGCCCAGAAUGAAAGGAGGUUUUCUCGCUUUCAGUAUUUGGUUUUUACAAAGAAGGUCCUUUGCCCUUAUAAGAAACAUAAAAACACAUUGCUUGACACAUGCCAUUUGAGGAAAACUCACGCUUUGGAUUCUGAAGGGUUGUAUGAAAUCUGAAUGUUGUCUCCAAAAGCACAGGGCCAGAAUGCGUGUAGAACUGGGCCCCAUUCAUUGCAUGGAGCACGCAGCACCGUCAUGCAACACCGUCAUGCAACACCGUCAUGAAACACCGUCUCUGGUGCUUUGACAGUAGCUUGAGAGCAGGAACAGGUUUACAUUUUAGCUCCUGCAUCAGCUUCAAACGUCAGUCACUUCCCCUUGCUACUUUGAUGCCUGACUUCUCCUGCCUUCUCCACCCCCUUCCCCUCUCAUUCUCCCCACUUUCCACAUCUCCUGCUUGCUCAUGGCCACAGCCUCUGUUCCACACAGCCUCCACACCUGUCUCCUCACGUGUGCCACUUUGAGCCCUGCUGGCUUUCUGGGCCUUUCAUUCGAAGUUCCCUGAAGAAAACUUGCACGAGCCAAGCAGUUAUGCCUAUGGCAGGCCCUGUGCAGAGCUUCUUGUGCUAAGAACCUGGAAAGUCCAUCCAGAUCACAGAUGGUACAGCUCUACCCCUGGUCUGCUCUGUGGAAGCCAGGUGGGCAGGUACCCACGGAAUAAACAGGGAGGCCUUUAUAAAAGCAAACAACAGAGGCUGGGGUGAGUCUAGCACGUCAUGCCUCAAAAGAGACCAGUGAGACCCAAGAGUUAAGCUACCUUCCAGGAAGUCCUUUUCUAUCUCAAGUUCUAUGACAAACCUUUUAAAAAAAAUUUUUUUUCAAUGCCGGAGCCACCAGUGUGAUAAUUCUCAAUCUUGUAUGUGUCUGACUUUUUACCUAAAUAGAAACUAAUCCCCAAGGGAGAAAGGGAGCUGAGGGCAAUGACUCCCUAUACUAAGAGAGCAAGUACUCUACACAAAGGGGAACGAGGCUGGUUAUGUUUCUGAUGUACCGAAACAACCAUUACAGCAAUUACUCACAUUGCCACUAACCCGCUAAGGUGACACAAAACAAAGCAGAAUCAUAACUCUCCUAAAAGCACCGUCAAGGCCAAGGCCAGAAUUUGUCUCCAACACAGAUCCGUUCAUUUAUACCUCUACUCACUUCCACUGAGAUGACCAGUUUCCAUAUAAAUGGGUUUAUUAAUAAAAAUUGGCAGAUAAAGAUAUAUGAUAGGAGGUAUAUACUUCAAUCCCUAUAACAUUGGGUUGUAUAGUGUUUUAUUAUUUCAUUUUUCCCCAAAUGCAUCUUUCAAUUCUAAAAGAAAGUGUACAUUUCUUUAAAAAUAUGUCACAUUGCACAGACUCUUCACUCUUUCUAUUGUAUUUUUUGAUAAUUGGUUACCCAUGACACUAU
Molecule: long non-coding RNA, 2872 nt
Organism: Peromyscus californicus insignis
Lineage: Eukaryota; Metazoa; Chordata; Mammalia; Rodentia; Cricetidae
Exons: 3
Source: RefSeq, a predicted model, not a curated record